Molecule: ribosomal RNA, 494 nt
Filed under: uncultured bacterium
Lineage: Bacteria
Description: bacterial SSU rRNA
Rfam family: Bacterial small subunit ribosomal RNA
Source: RNAcentral
GAUGAACGCUAGCUACAGGCUUAACACAUGCAAGUCGAGGGGCAGCACAGUGUAGCAAUACACGGGUGGCGACCGGCGCACGGGUGCGUAACGCGUAUCCAAUCUACCCGUCACUCAGGGAUAGCCUUCCGAAAGAAAGAUUAAUACCUGAUGGCAUGCGCAUGCCGCAUGGUGUGUGCAUUAAAGGACUCCGGUGACGGAUGAGGAUGCGACCGAUUAGGUAGUAGGCGGGGCAACGGCCCACCUAGCCGACGAUCGGUAGGGGUUCUGAGAGGAAGGUCCCCCACAUUGGAACUGAGACACGGUCCAAACUCCUACGGGAGGCAGCAGUGAGGAAUAUUGGUCAAUGGGCGCGAGCCUGAACCAGCCAAGUAGCGUGCGGGAAGACGGCCCUAUGGGUUGUAAACUGCUUUAGCCGGGAAUAAAGUGGGCCACGUGUGGCCUAUUGCAUGUACCCGGAGAAUAAGCAUCGGCUAAUUCCGUGCCAGCAGCCG